RNAcentral lists this ribosomal RNA (437 nucleotides) under uncultured bacterium. Its description in RNAcentral is "bacterial SSU rRNA". It matches the Rfam family "Bacterial small subunit ribosomal RNA", at positions 28 to 456 of the family's 1533-position model. The record is from RNAcentral.
GACGAACGCUGGCGGCGUGCCUAAUGCAUGCAAGUCGAACGAGAUUAUGUUGAAGUACUUGUACAGAUAUAUAUGACAGUGGCGAACGGGUGAGUAACGCGUGAACAACCAACCCUUCACAGGGGGACAACAUCUGGAAACGGAUGCUAAUACCGCAUAUGCUCACAGUACCGCAUGGUACGGUGAGGAAAACUCCGGUGGUGAAGGACGGGUUCGCGUUCCAUUAGUUAGUAGGUGGGGUAACGGCCUACCUAGACGAUGAUGGAUAGCCGAGCUGAGAGGCUGAUCGGCCACACUGGAACUGAGACACGGUCCAGACUCCUACGGGAGCAGCAGCAAGGAUAUUGUACAAUGGGGGAAACCCUGAUACAGCAACGCCGCGUGAAGGAAGAAGGCCUUCGGGUUGUAAACUUUCUGUUUUUAAGAGAAGAAACAAA